UUGAAGUAGAAUGAUCCCGAUUGCUUUAUUGUUGCUUGUGUGAUUGGUUGGCUUACUUUUUCAGAGGUGUUAUGGGAUUUAGAGGUUUGCCUUCUUUUGAUGCCCCUCUUUGUUUUCCAGCGUGUGGGGAUAGGAUGAGUCAUGAGGUAUCGUCGAGCUCUAGACAUUAAAUUAAGCACUUGUUGGGAGGUAACCCAACUGUUUUCUUGUUUUUGUUUUCCUUUUCCUUUUUCGUUGGUUCUUUUUGUUUUCUUUGUUUUGUUUCUUUUGGAGAGAUAGCAGUUGAGCUUGGAAGAUACUGAUUUUGAGCUUCGUCCAUAUCAUCACCACUGUGGAGCAUAUUUUUUUGUGAGUAGUGACACACAUAUCAUCAUCCCUCCAAACUUAUUUUCGAACUUAUGUUCUGUAAUUAGGGGUGUAAACGAACCAAGCCGCUCGCGAACUAUUCGGGGCUCGGCUCGAAAAAAGCUCGUUCGAAAUUCGUUCGUUUUCUAAACGAGCCGAACUCGAGCCCAAAUCCGAGCUCGAUAAAAUUAUCGAGCCGAACUUGAGCCUG
This 556-nucleotide long non-coding RNA is filed under the name Salvia miltiorrhiza (redroot sage). RNAcentral describes it as "long non-coding RNA (SMIL_LNC013169)". Lineage: Eukaryota; Viridiplantae; Streptophyta; Magnoliopsida; Lamiales; Lamiaceae. The record is from RNAcentral.